GUGAGUCAUCGAAUCUUUGAACGCACCUUGCACUCUUUGGUAUUCCGAAGAGUAUGUCUGUUUGAGUGUCAUGAAACUCUCAACCCCCCUGUUUUGUAACGAGAUAGGCGUGGGCUUGGAUUAUGGUUGUCUGCCGGCGUCAAGUCGGCUCAACUGAAAUAUACGAGCAACCCAUUUGAAAUAGACGGUUUGACUCGGCGUAAUAAUUAUUAUCGCUGAGGACGUCUAACCUUCAAAUCGUUAGUGGUGCUUCUAAUGCAAAUCAUUUUAAGAUUUAGACCUCAAAUCAGUCAGGAUUACCCGCUGAACUUAA
Molecule: ribosomal RNA, 313 nt
Filed under: uncultured fungus
Lineage: Eukaryota; Fungi
Description: eukaryotic LSU rRNA
Rfam family: 5.8S ribosomal RNA (bases 1-71)
Source: RNAcentral